UUUCUUUGGUGUGGACAUCAAAAACUCAAGUAUCUACAGGGGCCAAGCAGGUCACCAAAAUGGGUGGUGCCCCUGGGUGGGGACGGGGUUGAACUGGAGAGCCACGUCCAGUCUUAAGUGAGCAGCGUGUUCGGCAACUGACAUGAGCUGAGCAGAGCAAAUAUGGUUGUCAGAGGUUCUGAUUUCUCUUCACUGGAAGAUUUGAAAGGCUAUCUAGUGAAUCAAUAUCUGAAAAUUCGGCUGUCCAAAAACAUCUGUCACCAUGGAUUGCCCAUACCUUGCAUGGAAAAGCUCCUGCCGUCCUGGGCAGCACAUGGUAGAGGGGAGGCAGCCGCUGACCUUCUGGGUAACCUGUCAUGGCAACCUGACAGCAGACCGGCUGGAUGCUCCAAACUGUCACCAAAGAUGUCACGAGUGCUUCUGAGGCUCAAGAAUCUAAUUUUCCUUAGUUAAAAUAAAAGGACUGAAUGCUACAUAAAUCACCUUUUUUUUUUUUUUUUUUCCCUAAACAAAUCUCAUAGGGAAUCCUAAUAUGUAAAAUAACCAAAGUGUAAGCCCUGGGUUAAAGCCGAGGAUGGGUGCUAGAGAUGGGCUAGAGCAUGUCUGCUUAGCUUUCUUCUACUAUCCCAGCCAUUUAAAGACCCCCCAGUUAGCUUCCUGGAAUUCAGUUUGACAAACACAAGAAACUUAGGCUAGAUCAUUGCCAGGGGACCUUCAUUUCAAGCUCCGUGAAGUGGAUGAAGGACUCUGCCUUCGUCAUCCCUGAAUCCCCACAGCCAUGGUUCUGGC
Molecule: long non-coding RNA, 789 nt
Filed under: Rhinopithecus bieti (black snub-nosed monkey)
Lineage: Eukaryota; Metazoa; Chordata; Mammalia; Primates; Cercopithecidae
Description: lncRNA (ENSRBIG00000045555.1)
Source: RNAcentral